Molecule: ribosomal RNA, 433 nt
Filed under: uncultured bacterium
Lineage: Bacteria
Description: partial 16S ribosomal RNA
Rfam family: Bacterial small subunit ribosomal RNA
Source: RNAcentral
AAUGAACGCUGGCGGCAUGCCUAACACAUGCAAGUCGAACGACACCUUCGUGUCAAGUGGCUCACGCGUGCGUCGCGCGUCGGACGCGGCCUUUAGGUUCGGAAUUCUUCUGUGACAUGUGAGCUAAUGCCGGAUGACGUCUUCGAAUAACAGAUAUAACCUGUUUAGAGGAGCCCGCGUUGGAUUAGCAUGUUGGUAGGGAAAAGGCCUAUCACGGAGACGCUCCUUAGCUGGUCAGAGAGGAUGAGCAGCCACACUGGGACGGAGACACGGCCCAGACUCCUACGGGAAGGAGCAGUGGGGGAUAUUGGACAAUGGGGGAGAGCCUGAUCCAGCAAGGCCGCGAGAGUGAUGAAGGUGGUAGGGAUGUAAAGCACGUUUACCCGAGAUGAUAAUGACAGUACCGGAAGAAUAAGCACCGGCUAACUCCGUG